GAUGAACGCUAGCGAUAGGCUUAACACAUGCAAGUCGAGGGGCAGCAUGGUCUUAGCUUGCUAAGACUGAUGGCGACCGGCGCACGGGUGCGUAACGCGUAUGCAACUUGCCUCACAGAGGGGGAUAACACGUCGAAAGACGGACUAAUACCGCGUACACUUGGCAUAGGGCAUCCUGACCCAAGGCAAUGAAAUUCGCUGUGAGAUAGGCAUGCGUCCCAUUAGCUAGUUGGUGAGGUAACGGCUCACCAAGGAGACGAUGGGUAGGGGAACGGAGGGGAUGAACCCCGACACUGGUACUGAGACCCGGACCAGACUGCUACGGGCGGCAGCAGUAAGGAAUAUUGGUGAAUGGACGAGAGCCUGAACCAGCCAAGUCGCGUGAAGGAUGACUGUCUUAGGGAUUGUAACCUUCUUGUAUACGGGAGCAUCAAGAGCUACGUGUGGCUCCGUGCAUGUACCGUAUGAAUAAGCAUCGGCUAACUCCGUG
RNAcentral lists this ribosomal RNA (490 nucleotides) under uncultured bacterium. RNAcentral's name for it is "partial 16S ribosomal RNA". It matches the Rfam family "Bacterial small subunit ribosomal RNA", at positions 28 to 507 of the family's 1533-position model. The record is from RNAcentral.